UACGAAGGGGGCUAGCGUUGUUCGGAUUUACUGGGCGUAAAGCGCACGUAGGCGGAUCGUUAAGUCGGGGUGAAAUCCUGGAGCUCAACUCCAGAACUGCCUUCGAUACUGGCGAUCUUGAGUCCGGAAGAGGUGAGUGGAACUGCGAGUGUAGAGGUGAAAUUCGUAGAUAUUCGCAAGAACACCAGUGGCGAAGGCGCCAACUGGACCAUUACUGACGCUGAGGCGCGAAAGCGUGGGGAGCAAACAGG
Molecule: ribosomal RNA, 251 nt
Filed under: uncultured bacterium
Lineage: Bacteria
Description: partial 16S ribosomal RNA
Rfam family: Bacterial small subunit ribosomal RNA
Source: RNAcentral